Molecule: long non-coding RNA, 1102 nt
Organism: Haliotis rubra (blacklip abalone)
Lineage: Eukaryota; Metazoa; Mollusca; Gastropoda; Lepetellida; Haliotidae
Exons: 2
Source: RefSeq, a predicted model, not a curated record
GUUGGGAAAUGGUGAUAAGCAGGUGAUGAAUCGUGCAAUCUGCCAUGGCAAAUUAACCUUGCUCGGUAGUUUCAUACCGAGAUCUUUUACGGACUGAUUUCCAGGUAACGACGACUGUAAAGUUUUCAACUUAGAUUCAACACACAAGACUACUGUUACAGAACUACUAGAACCUACACGGACACAUGUCUGCUCCUGAUUCCGAUACUGGCAUGUACUGCCGAUACCGUUAUUGACAUUUACUGGAACCAGUAUGGUUUUGCAUCUACUGCCAGUACCAUUACUGACAUAUAUCAACUGUUGGUACCAAUACUGACACGUGUUUACUGUUGGUACCGUUAUUGAAAUAUAUCAAGCACUGGCGUCGAUACUGUUUUGUAUCUACCGCCGGUACGUAAUUAAUGAUCUAUCGCAACUAUUUGUUAUGUACAUAUGUAUCAAACACAUAAAUAAACCACUGGUCCUGCUAUUGACAGAUAUCAGCUGGGGUUGACCUUUAUCAUUUUCAGGGGACCUGUUUAUUUAAAUUAUGAGUUAUCGUUAAUGCUCGAAGCGUCAUCAGUUAUCUGUGAUAAACCCUGAAGACAGCUGUGUGAAAUAUUCCCGUACAAUAUGUGCAGGCCAACCCGCAUCUGGCGUCUCUCGGCAUCAGCUUUGCGUGUAUAUGUCCAACCUUCACCGACACCGACAUGAUUGUCCAUGGUGACUUCCGCGAAGGCCGGAGUCUGUACACCGAGGAUUCCCAGAGAAUGAUGGCGGAAGUGGGAGUGAUGCCGCUCAGUCAGGUGGUGACUGCGUUUGAGCAACUCCUUGACAGCCCCGACAACAACGGCAUCGUCAUGUCCGUCACUAACAUCAAAGGUGUGCGCGUCAGAAAACAUGGCCGACCGAGCAGGCUCUGAGAUGAUGGAGGAAAGAGGGUCCGAUACGCCGUCCACACAAUUCCCGUGAUGACGAGGAUGAUGAUGAUGAUGAUGGUGAUGAUGGUGAUGAUGACAACGACGACCAUACUCAAACUUAAACAGAAAUUAAUGCAAACAUGUCUCAUGCUAAUCCUACUUGUGCUUCUAUAACCGUUUGAUAAAAAGUAUUGCAAUUCAUA